AUACGGAGGAUGCGAGCGUUAUCCGGAUUUAUUGGGUUUAAAGGGUGCGUAGGCUGUGCGUUAAGUCAGGGGUGAAAUGCCGUCGCUCAACGACGGAGCUGCCCUUGAUACUGGCGUGCUGGAGUACGGAUGCCGUUGGAGGAAUGAGUGGUGUAGCGGUGAAAUGCUUAGAUAUCACUCAGAACACCGAUUGCGAAGGCAUCUUACGAAUCCGUCACGUGCGCUGAGCCACAAAAGCGUGGGGAUAGAACAGGAUUAGAUACCCUGGUAUUCCCCGCCGUAAACGAUGAUGACUAGCCGUCGGCGAUAGACAGCCGGUUGCCAAGCGAAAGCGAUAAGUCAGCCACCGGGGGAGUACGUCGGCAACGAUGGAACUCAAAUGAAUUGACGGGG
This 393-nucleotide ribosomal RNA is filed under the name uncultured bacterium. RNAcentral describes it as "partial 16S ribosomal RNA". It matches the Rfam family "Bacterial small subunit ribosomal RNA", at positions 523 to 918 of the family's 1533-position model. The record is from RNAcentral.